Molecule: RNA transcript, 1155 nt
Organism: Helicoverpa zea (corn earworm)
Lineage: Eukaryota; Metazoa; Arthropoda; Insecta; Lepidoptera; Noctuidae
Gene: Nxt1
Gene name: NTF2-related export protein
Exons: 3
Source: RefSeq, a predicted model, not a curated record
UACUUAGCUGUCAAAAUGUACGGAGUGUCCCCCCCCUGGUCCAUACGUUUACAGAUUCCAUGCUGUGUGUAAUGCUGUGUUGUGUGUUUAGAUACAAUUAGAUACAGAGAACUCUAACGGGCUCUUAAGUGUUAUUUAUCAACUGGGUGUUCUUACAAUGGCAGAGGCGACCAUCAAAAAUAUCGACAAUGCUUGCGAAACAGCAGAGGAAUUUACGAAAGUAUUUUACAAGCAAGUAGACAACAACCGGCAUUUAUCAUCCAAACUGUACUUGGACACUGGCCUCCUGGUUUGGAACGGCAACGGAAUCAACGGCAAUGACAAAAUUCAGAAGUUUCUUAUGGACUUGCCUGCCAGUAAUCAUGUGCUCAAGACAUUAGAUGCACAACCUAUAUCAGACAAUUUGGUGUCCAACAAGUUAACUUACCUCAUUCAAGCUUGUGGAGAUGUGACCUAUCAAAAUGACGAUAGCAAGAAGCCCUUCCAACAAACGUUUGUGAUAGUUGCUGUUGAUGGCAAGUGGAAAAUUGCAUCAGAUUGCUUCAGACUACAAGUUCCUUACAACAGUUAAUCUAUAUUUGAUGAUGGAGUGCUAAAGGAAAAAGUUUGAAGUCCUCACAAGAAUGAAGCAUAGAAUUUUUGCUGCAUUUGUAAAAUAUCAUGUUAUAAAUAAGUGUUGGAAAAAGAAAAAAAUGGUUGUAGGAAAGAAAAUACAAUAUUUUUAUUCAAAUAAGUUUUAUAUUUACAUUUAUUAAUAUGUACUAAAGGAAAUUGGCACUCAAUGCAUGAAAACAUCCCCUGGGCUAAUAAACCUGAUUCAUAUGUAUAUCAAAUCAUGCUGUGAUAUAAAGCAUAUUUUGACUGAUAAUUUUAAUAAUUGAAGAUAAUAAUAAUUAAGGUAGUAUAGAGAUUACAGUGAACUCAAAUGUUACUAUUAAAAAAUAUCAGCCUCUUUCCUGCCACCUCAGUGAGACAGGCUCUUAUUUAAUAAUACAUAUGGUUGCCGCGUUUAUCUUCAUGCUCGGAAACCCAGGUUCCAAAAUCCUUUAUUACAAAAGAUCUGCAAUACAUGUCAUGAUUUAGACAAACACUUGUUUUCAAAAUUGUGUUCCUGUAAAGUUUGAAUCCAUAUUUAUAAAAGUUUAGUGCAAACAA